CGCGCACACACCGCCCGUCACUCUCCCCAAGCCAACACCAUCCUAUAAAUAAUGUAUUUUACCGGUAAAGGGGAGGCAAGUCGUAACAUGGUAAGUGUACCGGAAGGUGCACUUGGAAAAAU
RNAcentral lists this ribosomal RNA (122 nucleotides) under Variabilichromis moorii. Its description in RNAcentral is "partial 12S ribosomal RNA". Lineage: Eukaryota; Metazoa; Chordata; Actinopteri; Cichliformes; Cichlidae. The record is from RNAcentral.